This 442-nucleotide ribosomal RNA is filed under the name uncultured bacterium. RNAcentral's name for it is "partial 16S ribosomal RNA". It matches the Rfam family "Bacterial small subunit ribosomal RNA", at positions 338 to 795 of the family's 1533-position model. The record is from RNAcentral.
CCUACGGGUGGCAGCAGUGGGGAAUAUUGGGCAAUGGGCGAAAGCCUGACCCAGCAACGCCGCGUGAAGGAAGAAGGCUUUCGGGUUGUAAACCUCUUUUGACAGGGAAGAGCAGAAGACGGUACCUGUCGAAUAAGGCACGGCUAACUACGUGCCAGCAGCCGCGGUAAUACGUAGGUGGCAAGCGAUGUCCGGAUGUACUGGGGGUAAAGGGCGUGUAGGCGGGCUGACAAGUCAGAUGUGAAAGCCGGGGGCUCAACCCCCGAACUGCAGUUGAAACUGUUGGUCUUGAGUAUCGGAGAGGCAGGCGGAAUUCCUGGUGUAGCGGUGAAAUGCGUAGAUAUUAGGAGGAACACCAGUGGCGAAGGCGGCCUACUGGACGACAACUGACGGUGAGGCGCGAAAGCGUGGGGAGCAAACAGGAUUAGAUACCCCAGUAGUC